RNAcentral lists this ribosomal RNA (211 nucleotides) under uncultured bacterium. RNAcentral's name for it is "partial 16S ribosomal RNA". It matches the Rfam family "Bacterial small subunit ribosomal RNA", at positions 123 to 334 of the family's 1533-position model. The record is from RNAcentral.
AACCUUCCUUUAACUGGAGAAUAGCCCCUCGAAAGAGGGAUUAAUACUCCGUAACAUAUACAUGUGGCAUCACAAGUAUAUUAUAGCUCCGGCGGUUAAAGAUGGGCGUGCGCCUGAUUAGAUAGUUGGCGGGGUAACGGCCCACCAAGUCUGCGAUCAGUAACUGGUAUGAGAGCACGACCAGUCACACGGGCACUGAGACACGGGCCCG